UACGAAGGGUGCGAGCGUUGUUCGGAAUUAUUGGGCGUAAAGCGCACGUAGGCGGCCUUGUAAGUCUCACUGUGAAAGCCCGGGGCUCAACCCCGGGAGGCCAGGGGAUACUGCAAGGCUGGAGACAAGCAGAGGUUGGUAGAAUUCCGGGUGUAGCGGUGGAAUGCGUAGAGAUCCGGAGGAAUACCAGAGGCGAAGGCGGCCAACUGGGCUUGUUCUGACGCUAAGGUGCGAAAGCGUGGGGAGCGAACAGG
RNAcentral lists this ribosomal RNA (254 nucleotides) under uncultured bacterium. Its description in RNAcentral is "partial 16S ribosomal RNA". It matches the Rfam family "Bacterial small subunit ribosomal RNA", at positions 524 to 776 of the family's 1533-position model. The record is from RNAcentral.